GAACGCGAAGAACCUUACCUGGGCUUGACAUACACUGGAUCGGGCUAGAGAUAGUCUUUCCCUUUGUGGCUGGUGUACAGGUGGUGCAUGGUUGUCGUCAGCUCGUGUCGUGAGAUGUUGGGUUAAGUCCCGCAACGAGCGCAACCCUUGUCUUAUGUUGCCAGCAUUUGGUUGGGGACUCAUGAGAGACUGCCGGGGUCAACUCGGAGGAAGGUGGGGAUGACGUCAAAUCAUCAUGCCCCUUAUGUCCAGGGCUUCACACAUGCUACAAUGGUCGGUACAACGCGCAGCGACACUGUGAGGUGGAGCGAAUCGCUGAAAGCCGGCCUUAGUUCGGAUUGGGGUCUGCAACUCGACCCCAUGAAGUCGGAGUCGCUAGUAAUCGCAGAUCAGCAAUGCUGCGGUGAAUACGUUCCCGGGUCUUGUACACACC
RNAcentral lists this ribosomal RNA (433 nucleotides) under uncultured bacterium. RNAcentral describes it as "bacterial SSU rRNA". It matches the Rfam family "Bacterial small subunit ribosomal RNA", at positions 957 to 1391 of the family's 1533-position model. The record is from RNAcentral.